This 113-nucleotide Y RNA is filed under the name Saimiri boliviensis boliviensis (Bolivian squirrel monkey). Its description in RNAcentral is "Y RNA (ENSSBOG00000000409.1)". It matches the Rfam family "Y RNA". Rfam says of the family: Y RNAs are components of the Ro ribonucleoprotein particle (Ro RNP), in association with Ro60 and La proteins. Lineage: Eukaryota; Metazoa; Chordata; Mammalia; Primates; Cebidae. The record is from Rfam by way of RNAcentral.
GGCUGGUCCAAAGGUAGUGAGUUAUCUCAACUGACCAUUCACAGUCAGUUACAGAUCAAAUUUUUUGUUCUCUUCUUUUACCGCUUCUCACUACUGUACUUGACUAGUCUUAG